GAUGAACGCUGGCGGCGUGGAUAAGGCAUGCAAGUCAAACGGCCCUUCGGGGCAGUGGCAGACGAGGUAGUAACACGUAGGAACCAACCCAGAAGUCAGGAAUAACUCAUCGAAAGAUGAGCUAAUACUUGAUAGUCUCUAAGGAGUAAAGAUUUAUCGCUUCUGGAUGGGCCUGCGUAGUAUCAGCUUGUUGGUAGUGUAAAGGACUACCAAGGCUAUGACGCUUAGGGGAGCUGAGAGGCUGAUCCCCACCGAUGGUACUGAGACACGGACCAUACACCUACGGGUGGCCGCAGUCGAGAAUCUUCCGCAAUGGGCGAAAGCCUGACGGAGCGACGCCGCGUGAUUGAUGAAGUCUUUAGGGAUGUAAAAAUCUUUUCUGAAGGAGGAAGUUUAUUGACGUUACUUCAGGAAUAAGGGGUUGCUAAACUCG
This 433-nucleotide ribosomal RNA is filed under the name uncultured bacterium. RNAcentral describes it as "bacterial SSU rRNA". It matches the Rfam family "Bacterial small subunit ribosomal RNA", at positions 28 to 505 of the family's 1533-position model. The record is from RNAcentral.